GACGAACGCUGGCGGCGUACUUAACACAUGCAAGUCGAACGGAAAGGCCCUGCUUGCCGGGUACUCGAGUGGCGAACGGGUGAGUAACACGUGGGUGAUCUGCCCUGCACUUCGGGAUAAGCUUGGGAAACUGGGUCUAAUACCGGAUAGGAGCCAUCUUUAGUGUGGUGGUUGGAAAGUUUUUUCGGUGUAGGAUGAGCUCGCGGCCUAUCAGCUUGUUGGUGGGGUAAUGGCCUACCAAGGCGGCGACGGGUAGCCGGCCUGAGAGGGUGUACGGCCACAUUGGGACGGAGAUACGGCCCAGACUCCUACGGGAGGCAGCAGUGGGGAAUAUUGCACAAUGGGCGCAAGCCUGAUGCAGCGACGCCGCGUGGGGGAUGAAGGCCUUCGGGUUGUAAACUCCUUUCGCUAGGGACGAAGCUUUGUUGUGACGGUACCUAGAUAAGAAGCACCGGCUAACUACGUG
RNAcentral lists this ribosomal RNA (466 nucleotides) under uncultured bacterium. RNAcentral's name for it is "partial 16S ribosomal RNA". It matches the Rfam family "Bacterial small subunit ribosomal RNA", at positions 28 to 507 of the family's 1533-position model. The record is from RNAcentral.